RNAcentral lists this ribosomal RNA (1504 nucleotides) under uncultured Bordetella sp. RNAcentral describes it as "partial 16S-23S ribosomal RNA intergenic spacer". It matches the Rfam family "Bacterial small subunit ribosomal RNA". The record is from RNAcentral. Lineage: Bacteria; Pseudomonadati; Pseudomonadota; Betaproteobacteria; Burkholderiales; Alcaligenaceae.
AGGUAGUAACAGAGGUUCGAUUAUGGCUCAGAUUGAACGCUGGCGGGAUGCUUUACACGGCAUGCAAGUCGAACGGCAGCACGAGACUUCGGUCUGGCGGCGAGUGGCAGGCGUUGAGAGUAAUGUAUCGGAACGUGCCUAGUAGCGAAGGGGGAUAACUACGCGAAAGCGUAGCUAAUACCACGCCUACGCCCUUCGAAAAGCAGAGGGACCUUCGGGCCUCGCACUAUUAAACGGCCGAUAUCGGAUUAGCUAGUUGGUGGGAGUAACGGCUCACCAAGGCGACGAUCCGUAGCUGGUUUGAGAGGAACGACCAGCCACACUGGGACUGAGACACGGCCCAGACUCCUACAGGGGAGCAGCAGUGGGGAAUUUUUGGACAAUGGGGAAACCUGAUCCAGCCAUCCCGCGUGUGCGAUGAAGGCCUUCGGGUUGUAAAGCACUUUUGGCAGGAAAGAAACGGCACGGGAUAAUACCCCGUGCAACUGACGGUACCUGCAGAAUAAGCACGGCCCCAACUACGUGCCAGCAGCGCGUAAUACGUAGGGUGCAAGCGUUAAUCGGAAUUACUGGGCGUAAAGCGUGCGCAGGCGGUUCGGAAAGAAAGAUGUGAAAUCCCAGAGCUUAACUUUGGAACUACAUUUUUAACUACCGAGCUAGAGUGUGUCAGGGAGGUGGAAUUCGCGUGUAGCAGUGGUAAUGCGUAGAUAUGCGGAGGAACACCGAUGGCGAGCAGCCUCCUGGGAUAACACUGACGCUCAUGCACGAAAGCGUGGGAGCAAACAGGAUUGAAUACCCUGGUAGUCCACGCCUAAACGAUGUCAACUAGCUGUUGGGGCCUUCGGGCCUUGGUAGCGCAGCUAACGCGUGAAGUUGACCGCCUGGGAAGGCCACCGGUCGCAAGAUUAAAACUCAAAGGAAUUGACGGGGACCCGCACAAGCGGUGGAUGAUGUGGAUUAAUUCGAUGCAACGCGAAAAACCUUACCUACCCUUGACAUGUCUGGAAUCCCGAAGAGAUUUGGGAGUGCUCGCAAGAGAAACCGGAACACAGGUGCUGCAUGGCUGUCGUCAGCUCAUUGUCGUGAGAUGUUGGGUUAAGUCCGCAACAGGCGCAACCCUUGUCAUUAGUUGCUACGAAGGGCAUAAUGAGACUGCCGGUGACAAACCGGAGGAAGGUGGGGAUGACGUCAGAAUCCUCAUGGCCCAUAUGGGUAGGGCUUCACACGUCAUACAAUGGUCCAGGUAGAGGGUCGCCAACCCGCGAAGGGGAGCCAAUCCCGAAACCCGAUCGUAGUCCGGAUCGCAGUCUGCAACUCGACUGCGUGAAGUCGGAAUCGCUAGUAAUCGCGGAUCAGCAUGUCGCGGUGAAUACGUUCCGGGUCUUGUACACACCGCCCGUCACACCAUGGGAGUGGGUUUUACCAGAAGUAGUUAGCCUAACCGUAAGGAGGGCGAUUACACGGUAGGAUUCAUGACUGGGGUGAAGUCGUAACAAAAAGGUAG